CCUGCGUGUACGUAAGUUGUAAAUCACUCCGUGUACACGUAAUUGGUGUGUGCGCUCAAACCUGUUUAACAGAGUGAGCUGUCAGGAACCUGGAGGCCGUGGCCUAGAGGCACGCUGCUGGUUUCCGGCACGCCGCGGGCCCUGCCUUUGCCCGGCCUCAGCAGUCACCUCUCCCCGCGGGCGCGGAUGCUGCAUGGGACCGUCAGCCGUAGCAGGCGGCGAGGAGCCCUGAGCGCUGCGAUGCAGGAUGGAAGUCAGCGGCUGCGGCACGGGUGUGGAGGCAAACAGAUGAGAAACAGAUUCUCAGGAAAGGAGGGGGCAGAGAAGUGGCUGUUCAGCAGGAUAAAACAAUGCUGUUUUGCACUGCAGGUUGUUGUUUGUUAUACCUUAACAUCUAGGCUCGAUAACUGUAAUCCUAUACUCCCUGAUCCCCGUUACGUUGAGCUGGAAGGUUCGGCUUAUCCAGAUUUCAGUAAGCCUUUAUUAGGAGCAGGCCAGCUCAGCGGUAACUCAUGUUCCAUGUUUUCUGCGCCAAUUUUUGGAUGGCCUUUUUUCGACAUGGCUAAGAUUUUGCUCAUGACCUGUAAGCACCACAUGGGCUGCAUUCCUGAUGUACCUAUGUAGCCUGUGCUUGACCUUCUCUUCUUGCAGUAAUCAGAAAUGAAGCUCGGUCCAAAGCUGCCCCAGUGGCUGCCAAGGAGCCAACCUCAGUGUGCAUUGUAAUCCGAGGGUGAACCUUCCUGGGCAGUUCUUGAGGAGGAGGUGAAGCAGCAGAUAGAGAUCUCUCUUGUUCAUCAGUUCAGAGGAGCCCAGCAGUGCCCACCAUGUUGGGCUGCUGACAAGCCCAUCCGAGGGCGCUUACAAAAACUUCUUAGGAGGUGCCACUGACAUUAUUGUUCGAGCUAAAUAUCUUUGAUUCUGCCUUUCUCCUACUUUAUCUGCACGGAGAUCUGCUGUCCGCCUCAGAAGAUGAAGACCUCCAUGGUCUAGCAGUGUGUUUCUGAUGAAGAACCGGGCUGAAGCCCUGCACUUUCCUGCUCUCCGUGUGGGGAUCCAUGCCAAAUCUGUAUGCUGCACAGCACAGUUUAAAAGUGUAUGUAGAUUAACAAGUAAGAGUUAGUAUUUGCAGCACAAAGUGUUGGUCAGAUGCAAUGUUUAUGAAUUCUGAACCCUGUACUGUAAGGUCUCAGAGCCAAGCGGGUUGUUGGGCUGCAGGAAGGGACUCACCUUAAGGUAACAACAGCAUUGCACAACUAUGGUAGGGAGAGAAGGAAGGGCAAUUAAUUCCUCCUUGUUAGCCUUCAGGGGAAUUUUAAGGACCCAAAAUGUAAUUACCCAAACUGGAAGUUGUCCAGGAGCCUAGAGUAAACCACCCUCUCACAAAACACACAAUGGGAUCGUGCAGUGAUCAUGAGUUCCCAUUUAGAAGCACACGUGGGCCGGCCAACACAAAGCCGCGGUGCAGUGCGCGUUGCUGUUUGCUGUCUCGGCACUCUCAGGGCUGCUCCCCCCGUGCUCCCUUCCAGAACCCAACCCAGCAGCAGCGCUCUGGCUGUUGUGCAGCCGCAGCACCCCGCACGCACCCUGCGUUUCAGCAGGCGGAGGGCACCACCCGCUCUACGCACACACGGGCCCGACCCGAGCUCGCCCAGAGUCUGCCCGGGGCCUUUUAAGGCAGAACUAUCCUCCCGCCGCCGAGCAACGCUCCGCCGCCCGGCCGCGCUUCCCGGCCGUAGCGGGGCCUCUGUGCCCUUCCGGGGCGGGCGCAUCCCGGCGGGGGGGCGGGCGCAGCGCCCCGUGCCCGCGGGGCCGGCCGGGUGCCGCAGUGCCUGUGGGGCCGCGGGGCCGGGGCCGAGAGCACCGCGGACAGCGGCGGGUGAGCGUCCUGCCCGCACCGCUGCCCGACCUCGGGAGGCCGGCUGAAUCUCUUCGCUUUCUCGACUGCUCGGCGGUUAUGAGUGGACCGACCAAAAACUGACAGUGCACGGGAGAACCACUUCCACAGUUAGUCGUUGGUUCCUGUUUGAGUGCCAUUAACCAAUUCCAAGGAAUGGAGGAGAAUAACGGGCAUCAUGCUAAAACCAGUGGCGCGGUGAGUGACCUGAGGAGAAGUUGGCAGACCUGGGCAGAGGAUCGAGUUGAGUACCAGAGGAAGAACCCGUUCAGCAACGACGACAGGCUUGCAUCUAAACCUCUGCAUGCUCAGAGAGGAGACCCUGCCUACGGGAGACCCCCCGAAGGGUCUAAAACAGAGCAGAGAGGGAAAGAUGCUCACUCGCACGUGGAAAAGGAGGUGGAAGAGCUGUGCCUGAUCAUCAGAAGCACCGGGCAGAAGGGAGAAGAUGGACACGUGAGUGUAACGUUUGGGCAGCUGUUUGAGACAUACGUGACUAUCUCCAACAAAGUGGUGGGAAUCUUGCUGAGAGCCAGAAAACACGGCCUGGUUCAUUUUGAAGGUGAAAUGCUUUGGCAAGGAAAGGACGAUGAUGUGGUCAUCACUUUGCUAGAAUGAGACUUUGGCACCUGAUGAAUUUUGCUGCUUGUUUCCAUUUGGAAAAACCUCUAGAUACCGUCUUGAAAAAGGUUUUCAUUGCAGAAUUUCAGCUCUGCAAAUUAAUGGGACAUUUAAAGGAGAGAAAACGGGUGAGAAGCAUAAAAAAAAGGUUUGCAUAAAAAUAAUAAGCAAUAUUGGGCAGAAAUCACAAAUAAUCAACUAAUCUGUCACACUACCAAGUAUGCUGUGGUUCUUCAAGCAUCCUCACUGAGUUAGUGCUUUAGGUUCUGAACACUAAUGACUAAUUGCCACCGUAAAGCACUGAUUCUUGGAGGUUGUGAAAGACUUGCUGUGGGGGGAAUUUUUUGAUUUGCAAAACAUAGAAUUGAGCACUUUUAUGGGAAUUCAUAUACUUCUUCAAACAAGAGCUUGGCUGUAGCACAAGUUUAGGUUAUUUUCACGUGGUGACUCUAAAUAAAUGGAAGUUAGGUUGACUUUCAUGAAGUAUAUGAAAAUGCGCAAGUUUACAGAAAUAUCACUUGCUUAGUGCAAGGAUAUUUCAUGUUUUCUAAAUAAGCUGCAUCUUGCUGAAUUUACUGGUCUACCCUUAGCAUCGUGGCCUCUGCAUUUAAUUUCUGUAUCUCAUACCACUUUCACCUCUUCUUUUCUUCUAAUGCUGCGUCAUACCCCAGAAGAUCACAAAGCUCUGCAGCCCUUUUGGUGAUCUCAACUAUACCCUUCACAAAAAGUAGGGUUCCACAAUACAGACUUGAAAAACAACAGAAAAUAUACUGGGGCAUUCAUGAAAAGAAAAAAAAAAUAACAAAAAAAAAGCUCUUUGGCUUCUUUCAGCAAAGUGUAGCAAUGCUGUUUACAACAGGGGAGUAGAGAUCCCAUAGUGCCAAAUGCAUAGGUGCAAGUAUAGAGGUGCAGUCACAUACCUCAUUUAGUUGAGGCAGAGCUGCGUUGCGAGUUCUCCAAACUGGGAGAAAAAAUGAGCUGCUAGAUACAAAUGGGAUUGAGAGAUGAGCGACAAGAAUUUUCCUCGUGGUUCUUCUGGAGGGACUUCUUUCAGUGUUCAGAAUGGGUUACAUUCAAUAGUAGUAAUAGCAAUAUUAAAAAUAAUUAGGAACUGUGUUUCAAAUAACUGCCACCAAGAAAGCAUUGGGAAUACAAAAUUCUAUUUUAACAGGGCAGAUAAAAGCUCUUAUGUGGUUUAUGUGGUGCUAAUUACAUUACUUGAUGAGUCUUUAAAAUAAGAAUAUUCCCUUGCUUCAAAAGGAUACUGAGAUUAUUAUAAAUUAUGAACUUGAUAAAAGUGAUUAUUUAACGCUAUUUAGAUAAAAGACCAUUUUUUUUGCAAAAAGAGUAAGAAUGAUUUUUGCUUGAUAUCUGUUGGGGUUUUGCAUGAAGAUAAACCUUCUGACUGAGCAAGUAAAAAUACAAUUUUCAUUAUCCCUAUGCCUCCUUUUCCUAGUGAAAAGACAAUGAAAAUAGAAAAAAAAACAAAGAGGUGAAUGUGGUGAAUUAAGUCCAUUUGGGGAACAGGAGAGCCAGAUGCAGGUACAGCCUGGAGGGGAACCAAAGGAGGGGCUUUAUGCACCACAUCAUUUUACCAAGUUGGAAACUGGAGAAUAUCUGCUGCACCAGACGCUGCUGGUUUGUGUUCCCUUAGCUCUCAAAACCACUCCUUUCUAAAAUAAUUUAUGGCUUAAAACAGGACUUAUGUAACUCGCCAUCAUUACGCAUUUAAAAUGCCUUGUUUUUUUUCGGAAAAGCAUUUCUUGCCAAAUGACAAUGAAACCUGGGCAUGCAUUUUGAUUUCAAAGCGCAUCAGUUUUUUUAUAAUACAGCUAUGAAAUGUGGUCUGCUUAAUUCUAACAAUUUGUCAGUCCAGUUGGUUCUGCUGUAGCGGUCAGCUUGUAACUUGGACAAGGCAGCGUUGGGCAGUUCAAGUAUCACCAGCUACAAGAUGGCAGUAUCAGGGAAAAUAAUCCAUUACUCUCAAAAGACACACAGUUGAGACAGCGUGUAACCUGAGCACUUGCAGGGUGCAAGUCCAGCUUGUGCAGACUCACUAAUUCUUAAUUAAGACUGACCCAAGUAGUUAGGCAACAAGAACCAAGGCUUCCACUGCCAUGCAUGUAGUGUCAGAUAGUAACAUGGCCUCAGCUGUACUCCUGCUGCUUAGGGUUGGUUUAAGUAUCACUUGAGCACAUCUGCAAAAGCUUUAAGUGUACCUCUCAGAACAGAAGCAGAGUAAGCCCUAAUAAAAUGGUCUUAUCAGCUCUGUGCCUGUGAGAAGACUGUCCUAUCUUGAACAAAACAAAGAGUUGUUAUUAAAAACAUAAUUCAUAGGGGGAUGGAUUUUUUAAGAAGCAACUGUAGGGCCAAAUUUCCUGCCUGCCAUCUUUAGGUGAACAUCAUCUGCAGGGGGACGAGCCUUUCUGUUUCAUAUGCCCGUGCAAUGGCACCAAAAUCUGCCAAACUGGGUCAGCGCACAAGUUGACAAAUCUCAUCUGCUUUCAGCAAUCGCACAUAUUUCAAAAGAAGUCUGUAAAAGAUAAUGCAAUUGUUCAGUUUGUCCACUGAAUACAAUCAAGAAUAAAAAAUCAAUCUUAAAGCCUGUACAGAGAA
This is a long non-coding RNA of Numida meleagris (helmeted guineafowl), 5131 nucleotides long. RefSeq lists it as uncharacterized. The transcript has 2 exons. The record is from RefSeq and is a predicted model, not a curated record. Lineage: Eukaryota; Metazoa; Chordata; Aves; Galliformes; Numididae.